Molecule: ribosomal RNA, 241 nt
Filed under: uncultured bacterium
Lineage: Bacteria
Description: partial 16S ribosomal RNA
Rfam family: Bacterial small subunit ribosomal RNA
Source: RNAcentral
GUAUCAUGGCUCAGGAUGAACGCUAGCUACAGGCUUAACACAUGCAAGUCGAGGGGCAGCAUUUUAGUUUGCUUGCAAACUGAAGAUGGCGACCGGCGCACGGGUGAGUAACACGUAUCCAACCUGCCGAUAACUCCGGGAUAGCCUUUCGAAAGAAAGAUUAAUACCGGAUAGCAUACGAAUAUCGCAUGAUAUUUUUAUUAAAGAAUUUCGGUUAUCGAUGGGGAUGCGUUCCAUUUAG